GACGAACGCUGGCGGCGUGCCUAAUACAUGCAAGUCGAGCGGAUCUGGGGGAGCUUGCUCCUUCCAGUUUAGCGGCGGACGGGUGAGUAACACGUGGGCAACCUGCCCUGCAGAUCGGGAUAACUCCGGGAAACCGGUGCUAAUACCGAAUAGUUUGGCGCCUCUCCUGAGGCGCUACGGAAAGACGGUUUCGGCUGUCACUGCAGGAUGGGCCCGCGGCGCAUUAGCUAGUUGGUGGGGUAACGGCCCACCAAGGCGACGAUGCGUAGCCGACCUGAGAGGGUGACCGGCCACACUGGGACUGAGACACGGCCCAGACUCCUACGGGAGGCAGCAGUAGGGAAUCUUCCGCAAUGGACGCAAGUCUGACGGAGCAACGCCGCGUGAGUGACGAAGGUUUUCGGAUCGUAAAACUCUGUUGUGAGGGAAGAACACGUACCAACUAACUAUUGGUACCUUGACGGUACCUCUCCAGAAAGCCACGGCUAACUACGUGCCAGCAGCCGCAGUAA
RNAcentral lists this ribosomal RNA (512 nucleotides) under uncultured bacterium. Its description in RNAcentral is "partial 16S ribosomal RNA". It matches the Rfam family "Bacterial small subunit ribosomal RNA", at positions 28 to 523 of the family's 1533-position model. The record is from RNAcentral.